Rattus norvegicus (Norway rat) is the source of this 2254-nucleotide non-coding RNA. Lineage: Eukaryota; Metazoa; Chordata; Mammalia; Rodentia; Muridae. The record is from RefSeq and is a predicted model, not a curated record.
CGCGCGCCCCCCCUCUAUUGGCUACAGCCGGGGACCCCUUCAUGCAGCUGACUCCCCAUUGGCUGAAACCGGGGACCGCGAGAUCCUCCGUGACAGAGUCUUUCUGUGUGGCCAAAUGUUGAGAUUAAAGGAGUACACCAUCCAGUGCCUAAAUGUGUUUUGCUGUGCCUAAGAUCCUGCAGUGGAAAUGAGACAAGGUGACCCACAACCACCAGUCAACGUAAGUACCUCGAAUGGAAGUCUGGGGAUUAAAGAACAAGGAUGAGGGAAGAAUGGAGCCAACACAAAAUUCUGAUCAAGGCUCAACUUUAUUGCAAAGCAGCAGGCUUAUAAAGGCAAAAAACAUAAGCCCAACCCCUAGAUGACAUAAAUCACCUCUUGCCGGCAGCCAAAAGCAUGGGUUUUUAUUUCUCAGCACAGGUCUCUCUCAUCAGGCCAAAAGCAGAACUCCCAUCUCGGGUGGGGAAAUCCCACCAAGUGCUGUGAUAGCAAAAUAGCUGAUGGGGCAACCCCUGCUACACAGGCCAGGACAGAACCUCCACAGUGGAUGAUCCGUGUCCUCCCAUCCAUGGAAGAGGCAGGCACAUUCCAGGGAUGGAGGGGGUGACAGACACACUGCUGCUGCAGCUGUAAGGGGUGACAGACACUGCUGCAGCUGUGAGGGGUGACAGACACUGCUGCAGCUGUGACGGGUGACAGACACUGCUGCAGCUGUGACGGGUGACAGACACUGCUGCAGCCAUGAAACUCUCUUUUACAAUUUGUUCCCUUAUUUUUUAAAAAUAAUUUCAUUUAUUUUCUCUUCUGAGUGUUUGCUUGCUUAUACUGUCUGUGUAUCAUGUGCAUACAGUGCCUGAGGCGGCCGAAGACAGGAUCCUAUCCCUGAAAACUGGAGUUACAGAUGUUGUGAGCUGGGUGUGGUGCUGGAACUUGAACCAGGAGAGCAGCCAGGGCUCAUAAGUGCUGAACCAUCUCUUCUUCAGUUUCCAGCCAUAGGGCUUUUGUCCCUUGAGGGAGUUAUCACACUGUGCAGUCACAACUGCAAACCAGACAGAGUCCACCUUACAUGCUUUAGCAAAAACCUGAAUUUUCCUCAAUUGUAAAAAAGGCUAGUGUAAGGGACUAAUACUCCCACCCGUAGGCAGCAUGUACCCAUCUUCUAAUUUUAGGCUCUCCAAACACUAGAGCAGAGAAAGACUAGGCAUUAUUUUCUUAGUCUUCCAGGGGAGGGCAUGUGUGGUAUCAAAGAAGUCAUGGGUUUGUGGAGAUGCAGUUCAGUGUGAUGGCUAUUCUUGGUUGUCAACCUGACUACAUCUGGAAUUAACUAAAACAUAAGCAGACAUGUACAAUGAUGACCCACCUCAAAUCUUAUGAAGGACACAGAAGAAGGACUUGCUCUCUCUUUGCCUGCUUGUUCUCACUCUCACUGGCAAGUCCAUUCCUUCCCUGGCAUCAGAGACUACUUCUUCAUGAUUCUGGCAUAUACUGAAGACCAGCUGGGACAGCCAGACUCACAGACUGAACAACUAUUGGAUUCUUGGAUCUUCUGUUGGUCGAUCGCCAUUUUUGGGCUAGCUGAACUGCAGCUGUAAGCCACUCUACUAAAGCCCAUUCAUUCUGUUAAGUGCAGUCUCUCUAGAGAACCCUGACUACUACAGACUUUGGUACCACAAACGGUACUGCAGUGGCAGACCUCGGUGUGGAGAGGAUUGUGGAAGGACCUUAGAACUUUGGGCUAGAAAAACCAUUGAGUAUUCAAAAACCUAGUGAGCUUUUCUGUGGGAGCUUGGAAGAUAAGAAUGUUGAGGGCAAAGCUGUGCAUGGUGGUGCACGUCUUUAAUCCCAUAUUCGGCAGGCAGAAGCAAUGUGGAAGAAGAUGGAAGCCUGCCUUGAAGUUCUCGAGGGAAGUUUGAUAGUCCCUUAAAGACUCCGUCAGGAGGGUCUUUUGCUAUUUUGAAUUGAGAAUCUGUGGUUCUGGUCAGCUGAGGCUGAAGAAUCAGCUGUGGUUAACCAGAGACAAGCAGCGCUGGAGCAAAACCUCUGCUUUCCCAGGACAAUUGAUGCUGGUCAGCUGGAGCUGAGAAAAUAGCAGUGAUUAAGAAGGGACCAUGGUACACACCUUUAAUUCCAGCAUUUGGGAAGCAGAGGCAGGGAGCUCUGUGUUUGAGGCUAGCCUGGUCUACAGAGUGAGUUCCAGGACAGCCAUGGCUACACAGCACAGAGGGACCCUUUCUUAAAAAAAAAAGACAAAGAA